GUGAAGCCUGAACUCGAGUAGGGCCCAAGCAAGCCAGGAAGGAGGAGGCAGCCAGAGUGUUCUCUGCAGCAGAAGACCCCUUGCUGACCUGCUUAACCCAGACCAGCAUUUGCCAGAUACCUCUCACUGCCGCCCCCAGCACCGCCCUCACUGGCCGCCUCUGGAAACGAACUCCCCAUCAGUGGUGCUUCAACAGAAGGAAAGACUGAGGGAAGUUUAUGCAGCUAUUCUCCUGAUGGAUAUUCUCCAAGACUGGAAGCCUCGGGCUUAAUACUGGCCUCACAUACAUCUGGCUAAUGAAGAAGCAAUGGAUGGGGUCAGCCCUUCCCCUUUCCCUGGGUGACAGUAUUAUUAUUAUUAUUAUUAUUAUUAUUUUACAUUUAUAUCCCGCUCUUCCUCCAAGGAGCCCAGAGUGGUGUACUACAUACUUGAGUUUCUCUUUCACAACAACCCUGUGAAGUAGGUUAGGCUGAGAAAGAAGUGACUGGCCCAGAGUCACCCAGCUAGUUUUAUGGCUGAAUGGGGAUUUGAACUCGGGUCUCCCCGGUCCUAGUCCAGCACUCUAACCACUACACCACGCUGGCUCUCAGUCAUUAACAGUAACUCUUCUGGGAUUUCCCUUCACUAUCCACUGAGCUGUGGCUGUGACAAAAAUCAUGACGUACGACUGGUUCCUGUUAAAAUGGGAGUACCACCACUACCAACACUUUCACGCACAUGCACUGAGAGCUGUCACAAAGCUAUAUCAUGUAGAUAGUUAAUGUCCAGUAGCUUCUCCAUCCUCCUUCCUCAAUGUGUGCCUCUUUGGCUGGCCAUGACACAACUACACUUUGCCACAAGUACACCACCACCCCAUCUCUCCUUCUGAUGAGGUUGAGUCCAAUAGAGCAGUAUCAUGUCGUCAUAAUGUUUACAAAAUCAUGUGAUCAUAAUGUUUACAAAAAUGUAAAAUAAAUACUGAAAAUGUUGUCCCACUCAUCCUCUUUUUCUUCAUCUUCCUCCAGCACAUGAAACUGAAGCACAUUGUUGAAGUGGAGGUUCCGGAGAAGCUCCUCACAGUAAAAUGGGUUUCCGUGGCUUCUUUGUAUUAAGAAUCUAGAAGUGGGGAGAGAGAGAGAAACAGUUCCUGGAAUAAAAGGCAUAAUCCAUUUACUGUACAGAACCUUCCCUUUUCUAGCAUCAGCACACAUGCAAUUGAUCCACAGCCAAUGCCAGGAAUGUCAAAUGUCAAAAUAUCCAAUGUCAAAAUAGGCCAGCUAGUACUCUCUGGUCCCUAUAAAAGCUUCUGGGUCAAUUUGACUUGCUAGUCCAAGCAACAAGGAGAUUCUGCUAUCUAUAAGGGGUGUGCGUUCAGUGGGGCCUGAAUGUUAAUUAUAUAUGCAUUCAAAAUUUUAAAAAUGUGCAAUCAAUGGGCUCAUUUUUGGAAUGCCAUUCAUACCCAUUCAUUAAUCCUUUGGCAUUCAGGGAGUUGCUUACCUUGUCUGGUGGACAGCAGAAGCCCUUUGCGAAGCCACCUCCUGCUAGCUUCCAUUUCCCCACAAUACCCUAGGUGCAGCAUCAAUCUGGGCAUGGGGGCAGAGAAUGGCAGCCACCAGGAGGUACCUGUUCAGAGGACCUCAACUGCCCACCAUGGCCAUAGGUAAUGGCAAGAAGUCACAUAAAUGAUUGAAAGGAAGAAGGAAAAAAUCUAACAAAAUAAAUGUGAAUAAUGAAAUGAAAAAAGUGUAUGAAUAUCAACAUGAAAAACAAAUGAAUGAAUGAAUACCAAAUGAACCAACCGCUUAAUAACAAAAAUGAAUGGUGUAACAAAAUGGGUGUUGGGGGUGGGGGGCGUUGUGCAUAUUCCUAUCCUACUGUUGCUGCUCCUUUCUGGCUAUGGAUUGUCUCUGCCUUCAGCUUCACAGAAUGGUGCCAAAAGAUCCAAUGUGCAGACACUUCCUACUUACAUCUCAAGCUCCCUGGCGAUACUGACCACCCCAAGGUCUUGGCAAGCUUUCUGAACAAUCACUGAAGGAGGUAACUCCCUUAAAUGGAUAUAGACAGUGUUAUGAUGGUUUCUUAUUCGGGCUGCAGCAGGACAAGGCAGUCGCGCCUUGCGGUUGUCAGGACACAAAGACAUGACGACAAAUAUGGGAACAGUCCUUAUCAUCUUUUCCAAGAAUUGCCAGGAGACUGUAUCAAUGUACUGAGAUUCAUCAAUUACAAAAAUGACAACUUCUUUAUCCCCUAUCUAAAAAUAAUAAAUAUGUAAAUAAAUAAAUAAAUAAACCAACAACAACAAUAGCAGCAAAAUCUCAGAAUAAGGUUAUCCUUCUGCAGGACUUCUUUUCUUUUUUUGCAAGAACCACUUCACAGGGACCACUUCUGUGAAUACUUGCUGCCACCAGAGAUGGCUGCUCUGCAGUUGUCCCUACAGAGAGGGAGAGGCUUCCCCAGUUGCUGCCUCCCUUUCUCUCCUUGCUUCUACAUCCUCCAUCCUCCUUCCUCAACUUGUGCCUCUUUGAAGGGCUCGCCAUGACACAACUACACUUUGCCACAAGUGCACCACCACCCCAGCCAUCUCUCCUUCUGAUGCGGUUGAGUCCAAUAGAGCAGUAUCAUGUUGUCAUAAUGUUUACAAAAUCAUGUGAUCAUAAUGUUUACAGAAAUGUAAAAUAAAUGAUUGGUUGAGCGACA
This is a long non-coding RNA of Hemicordylus capensis (graceful crag lizard), 2676 nucleotides long. RefSeq lists it as uncharacterized. The record is from RefSeq and is a predicted model, not a curated record. The transcript is spliced from 2 exons. NCBI's taxonomy places the organism in Eukaryota, Metazoa, Chordata, Lepidosauria, Squamata, Cordylidae.